RNAcentral lists this ribosomal RNA (447 nucleotides) under uncultured bacterium. RNAcentral's name for it is "bacterial SSU rRNA". It matches the Rfam family "Bacterial small subunit ribosomal RNA", at positions 329 to 793 of the family's 1533-position model. The record is from RNAcentral.
GACCAGACUCCUACGGGAGGCAGCAGUGGGGAAUAUUGCACAAUGGGGGAAACCCUGAUGCAGCGACGCCGCGUGAGCGAUGAAGUAUUUCGGUAUGUAAAGCUCUCUCAGCAGGGAAGAAAAUGACGGUACCUGACUAAGAAGCCCCGGCUAACUACGUGCCAGCAGCCGCGGUAAUACGUAGGGGGCAAGCGUUAUCCGGAUUUACUGGGUGUAAAGGGAGCGUAGACGGCUGUGCAAGCCAGAUGUGAAAGCCCGGGGCUCAACCCCGGGACUGCAUUUGGAACUGUGUGGCUGGAGUGUCGGAGAGGCAGGCGGAAUUCCUAGUGUAGCGGUGAAAUGCGUAGAUAUUAGGAGGAACACCAGUGGCGAAGGCGGCCUGCUGGACGAUGACUGACGUUGAGGCUCGAAAGCGUGGGGAGCAAACAGGAUUAGAUACCCCAGUAA